This 187-nucleotide ribosomal RNA is filed under the name uncultured eukaryote. RNAcentral's name for it is "partial 18S ribosomal RNA". It matches the Rfam family "Eukaryotic small subunit ribosomal RNA", at positions 1487 to 1676 of the family's 1831-position model. The record is from RNAcentral.
CCGCACGCGUGCUACACUGACGCAUACAGCGAGGUUCACCGGCUCCGAAAGGCUGCCGGUAAUCCUCAUGCGUCGUCGUGGGGGGGAUAGAUCUUUGGAAUUUUUGAUCUUGAACGAGGAAUGCCUAGUAAGCGCAGGUCAUCAGCCUGCGUUGAUUAAGUCCCUGCCCUUUGUACACACCGCCCGU